RNA transcript from Prunus dulcis (almond), 3234 nucleotides. RefSeq lists it as uncharacterized. NCBI's taxonomy places the organism in Eukaryota, Viridiplantae, Streptophyta, Magnoliopsida, Rosales, Rosaceae. The transcript is spliced from 12 exons. The record is from RefSeq and is a predicted model, not a curated record.
GUCCGCUCAGAGAAGUCCCCAUUUUCAGUCCGUUUCGAACCAGCUGGUUGGGGGGCAGCCAUGGAAGAUCUGCAUUCAUUGUUAGACAUGCGUGGGGGGCCGUCGAUUUUUGUUUGGGAGGUGCGCUGCAAAUCCAGCCGCACUUUUAGUCUUCGUCUCACAGAUUUGUGGUCGGGAGAUUUCCCAUCCUUUCUACAGCCUUCGACUCAGACUUCCAUCUUUCUUGCUUGCGAAUUUUUGCAUCCUUUGUCUUCAGUUUAACGGAUUAAUGAUUUGCUGAUGGGUUUCUGAGCAUACUGUCGAAUCCUUUGAUUCCUUGACCAAAUUGAUUAUGCUGCUGUGAUGAUCUGUUGUAGUCAAUAUUGUUGUUGUGGGAAAGUAAGCAUGCCAAUUUCAACAAUUUGUAAUGAUCUUGCUGCUGUAAUGGGUUGUUAAUUUGUUGUUGGAUUGAUAGGAUUAGAUGAUUACAAUAUCUGAGCAUGUUGGUGAUUACAAUAUCUUGGACAUGGUUUUCUUUUGUUUGUUGUAAAAUAAAACAUAAGCAGAAAGCCAUGUUCAACAAACAUCAAUUUUCUAGGGUUAGGGUUUUCGUUUCAUUCUCAGAUGAUUUGAUGGGCAACACGAUUUGUUCAGGAUGACUCUGCAUAUAUAUAUUUGAUUAAUUGAGGGUCGAGAUUAUAAAUGAGAACUCUCAGAUGAGUUUUUGAAGUUCUCUGUUUUUUACUUUACAGGAAAAAAUGGAAAAUUGUUAUUGAUUAUAUUAGUAUAAUUUGUUUAGGCACCGUCUUUCUAGGAUUUUAUUGCUUGCAUAGUUUAUUUUCUAUGCUUGGAAUUACAAUGAAAAUUUCCUUUCGUUGUUUUUUGGUUGUUGAAGGGUUUGAGCCAGGAAAAAGGUGAUUUUGCAACCUCACCAAAGCAUUUCAGGUAAGAACCAUACCCUUGAAUUUUCCUUUUGGACCAAAAUUAAGCAUUUUGUUUUGUGGUUUAUCAUAUGAUUGGGUUCUAUGUUUGAGCUUAUGGAUUGGUUCAUGGUGGAUUUGAAUUGGCACGCAGAGUUGCUUGGGUGAAGCUGAUGACUGUGUGCGUUGCAGGACUAAACAAAAUGGUGCAACUACAUCUAUUCGUGGACUUUGAAAUAGAAACAAAGGGACUGUUCGUGCGUGAAUAAAGGCUUGCCAUUGCCCUUGCUGAUGUUGUGGGACAGAGCCAGUGUAUGUGUACAGAAGUUACGAACAACACAGAAUGUUGACUGACUUUGAAGGUGCUACAAGAAAAAAUGAAGUAGGGUUCUGCAUUUGGACUAGCAAAGAGUUCCACCAGUACCAGGUUGUUGGGAGGAAGCUCCCUACAGCAUCUGAUGAGCACCCCGGAAUUUUCUGAAUGAAGCUCUGGGCCACCAAUGAGGUUUGCGCCAGGUCCAAGUUCUGGUAUUUCCUGAGGAAGCUGAAGAAGGUCAAGAAGAGCAAUGGCCAAGUGCUUGCCAUUAAUGAGUGGUUCCUCCUCAACUCUCCUCCUGGCUUAAUCCAAUUUGUUGCCAAAGGAGGCUGCGUCAGAGGCAUCCCCUCGAAAUGACCGGCUGAUUUGGAGAUGUGACAUGAAGCAGAAACAGUUAAGGAAAUCUCAUAUGAAAUGGGUAUUUUAUGUUGGAGUGAGAGUAGUUGUCAAAGAUGGCAUCAAAGCUUAGCAAAUCUAUGCUUGAUGGGGUUGAAAUUACGAUUUAAUCAGUGAUAGGACUUUUGGUUGAAUCCCAAGCAGGGAAUGCAUUCUUUGCCAUGGUUCCCAGACAGGUCCUCUUGGCUUCCCUUGAUGCUAUCAGUAGGAAGGCGAAUUGAGUCAGUGGUAGUCCCACCGGAGCAGCUCAAGUCCUCUGAUUUUACUGAUCAACAAGAAUAUGAUGCCUGCAAAAUGAAAUAAAGGAGUUUUUCUGGAAGGUGAUGCUGUUGUUGCCAUCGCUAAGAAGGUGAAGAACAACAACCAUGUAGUAAGAAAGUUGGAGAAGCGUCAAUAGAUUUGUACCCUUGACCAACAUAUUGAAUAGCAAUUUGGUGGUGGUCGUCUAUUGGCUUGUAUCUCAAUCCCGACCUAGACAGUGGCUGUGUUGAUGGGUAUGUGACUUUAUUUGCCUAUGUCUAUUUCUAGUCAGCAGAUUUGUCAUAGGCAUAUUAAUGUAGUUACCGAAUUGCAAGGGCUAAAAUUUGGAUGAUAACAGCUUCUUUUUAUUGUUGUUUUAAAGUGAGGUAUGUAUGGGUCUUAUGAAAUUUUUACAUAAAUAUAUUGGAGGGCAAAUAAUUUUAUUUUAGUUUUUUAUUCCCAAAUGAUAUCCAAAACAUGUAAGCUUCACACUAUGUUAAUUUAUGCAGGAUGGGAAAACAUUGGACAAUGAGUUGGAGGUUGUUGAGGGAAUGAAGCUAGACAGGGUCUACAUAUCCCCUUAUUUCAUCACCAACCAGAACAAUCAAAAAUGUGUAAGUUUUAGUUUGACUCAACGAUAACUAUGUCUUGAAACUGUUAGAGGGCUGCUUGUUAAAGUUAGCAGCACCUCAAAUCGCUUUUUGCUUGAUGCUGAUUAUCUUCAAAUUUGUGUAUGUGCUGAUAAGAAUUGGAAAAUCCUCUAAUCAUAAUCCAUGAGAAGAAAAUCUCAAGUAUUAAAUGAUGUGGUUAAAGUAUUGGAGUUGGUUUUGCAACUUAGCAUUUCUCUGAUUAGGUUCACUAGUUUCUUCUUUUUUACUAUGAAUUGGUUGACAAACUUUUGCUCCUUUUCAGAAGCAAAGGUCUUUGCAUUUUGUUAUAUAUUUCAGAACCAAAGUUAUAAAAGAAAAUGGUUUUCCUCUUUGUCAAUUGAGAAUCAUUUGCAGUUAUGAUUUCGGAUAUGUAGAUAACCUGUUGUUGCUAAUAUUGCUACACGGGAGGAGAAUAGAACAACUUGGAAAAUGUGCAAGAAGGGAGAGGUCAGGUACCUCUGAUCCUUUUGUGAAGUCAGGUACCUCUGAUCCUUGAAGGUUCACUAGUCACCUACGUAAAUCUUCCCCUGCUUGAAAAAUAACCUGAAAGAUAGUAAGACUUCUUGUGUAUGAUGGGACCUAAGCUUCUGAAAACGUGCCUUGAAUUCUUAACGGCGCAACAACCUCUAGGCCAGCACAAACGACAGAAUUUAUCUUGAAGGUGGAAGAAUUACUAAAGUUGCCAUGGAUUUGUUGAUCUUGUACUGACUAUAUAUAUAAACGAUUUCACACA